RNAcentral lists this ribosomal RNA (496 nucleotides) under uncultured bacterium. Its description in RNAcentral is "partial 16S ribosomal RNA". It matches the Rfam family "Bacterial small subunit ribosomal RNA", at positions 28 to 506 of the family's 1533-position model. The record is from RNAcentral.
GAUGAACGCUGGCGGCGUGCCUAAUACAUGCAAGUCGAGCGAACAGACGAGGAGCUUGCUCCUCUAACGUUAGCGGCGGACGGGUGAGUAACACGUGGAUAACCUACCUAUAAGACUGGGAUAACUUCGGGAAACCGGAGCUAAUACCGGAUAAUAUAUUGAACCGCAUGGUUCAAUAGUGAAAGACGGUUUUGCUGUCACUUAUAGAUGGAUCCGCGCCGCAUUAGCUAGUUGGUAAGGUAACAGCUUACCAAGGCAACGAUGCGUAGCCGACCUGAGAGGGUGAUCGGCCACACUGGAACUGAGACACGGUCCAGACUCCUACGGGAGGCAGCAGUAGGGAAUCUUCCGCAAUGGGCGAAAGCCUGACGGAGCAACGCCGCGUGAGUGAUGAAGGUCUUCGGAUCGUAAAACUCUGUUAUUAGGGAAGAACAAAUGUGUAAGUAACUAUGCACGUCUGGACGGUACCUAAGCAGAAAGCCACGGCUAACUACGU